Molecule: non-coding RNA, 148 nt
Organism: Pan troglodytes (chimpanzee)
Lineage: Eukaryota; Metazoa; Chordata; Mammalia; Primates; Hominidae
Rfam family: Metazoan signal recognition particle RNA
About the family: The signal recognition particle (SRP) is a universally conserved ribonucleoprotein. It is involved in the co-translational targeting of proteins to membranes. The eukaryotic SRP consists of a 300-nucleotide 7S RNA and six proteins: SRPs 72, 68, 54, 19, 14, and 9.
Source: Rfam
GCUGGGUGUGGUGGCACACAUCUGUGGUCCCAGCUACUCAGGAGGCUGAGGCAGGAGGAUCACUUGAGUUUGGGAGGUCUAGGCUGCAGUGAGCCAUGGUUGGGCCACUGCACUCCAGCCUGAGUGACAGAGCGAGACCCUGUCUCUA